RNAcentral lists this ribosomal RNA (292 nucleotides) under uncultured Acidobacteriota bacterium. Its description in RNAcentral is "uncultured Acidobacteria bacterium partial 16S ribosomal RNA". The record is from RNAcentral. Lineage: Bacteria; Pseudomonadati; Acidobacteriota.
GGACUACUGGGGUAUCUAAUCCUGUUUGCUCCCCUAGCUUUCGUCCCUCAGCGUCAGUUGUGAUCCAGCGAGCCGCUUUCGCCUCGGAUGUUCCUGCGGAUAUCUACGCAUUUCACCGCUACACCCGCAAUUCCACUCGCCUAUCUCACACUCUAGCACGGCAGUUUCGAAAGCAGCCUCUGAGUUAAGCCCAGAGAUUUCACUCCCGACUUACCACACCGCCUACGGACCCUUUACGCCCAGUAAUUCCGAGCAACGCUGGCCCCCUACGUAUUACCGCGGCUGCUGGCAC